Molecule: long non-coding RNA, 2782 nt
Filed under: Xyrichtys novacula (pearly razorfish)
Lineage: Eukaryota; Metazoa; Chordata; Actinopteri; Labriformes; Labridae
Source: RNAcentral
CAUGUGUUCCGCUACCAAAUAUAUGUUCCUCAUUUCUACUUAUUGACCAGGGAGCAGGGUUUCCAGCGUUCUGUUGGGGUAAGAAGGAAAACAAAACAUCAGCAUUGUCGACAUUAUUAUGUCUCAAUAUUUUUUUUAACCUUAAUUUCAUCAAGCAGGUCCCACUGAGAUUAAAAAUCUCUUUUUCAAGGGGUACCUGGCCAAGACAGCAGCAGAAUAACUGCAAUAAAAGACCAGUAAACAAAAACAAACAAUAAUAAAUAUGGAUAGCACAGAUAACUGCAGGGAAUUCAUGACAUUACUUUGGGCAGUAUAACUAAAGUGGUUCCAGUUAUUUGUAUGAAUAUUAUUUUAGGACCUGCACAUCUUACAGUAAUUCAGAUGGUGAAACUGAAUGGUGUAAAUAUUUCAAAUAUUAUGUCACUAUAACACAUUAUUUUCUGUUUUCAUAGCAUACUGAUACAACAGGCAAGCCUCUUGUUUUCAAAUACAUCUUGGUUGCAUGACAAGUAUCAAAGCCCAGAUAAGCCCAUAUAAAUGGUCCAAUUCCUCUCCUGGGCUUGGGACACGUUUCUACUCAGCUGCCAUCUUAGAAAGGAGUCAACUGCUUUCUGAUUCCACAUAAGAAAACAGUUGAGCAUACCUGUCAACACACCCGUUUUUCCCUGGACUCCCUCAUAUUUCAGACCUAUCUCCCACCCACCUCCCAUAUUGUCAUUCCUCCUGGGAAUCUCCCGUAGUUCGCAUGGUCCAUGUUCAUUCAUGAAAAAAGUUUCCAGACAACUGAAGGUAGUCCUGUGUUUCUGCUGAGCCUCAGAGACUCUGGAUUGAUACUUUUACUUUACAAUUUGGGAUGAUUCAGGUCGGUUUAAGCUGUAAACUACAAUGGAUGGGCUCUGAAAUGCUUCAAAUAGCUUUUGAUCUUGCUUUGAUUGUCUGUCCAAAACAAUUUAACAUGAAAACAUGAAAUUCAUGCUUUAAUCAAAUAUGCUUAAUAGAGAGCAUGAGUAAUGAUUAAGACAAAAUACAGUGUGGAAAAGUCCACAUACUACACAUUUCUCUCUCACUCAAAAUGGCGACCGCAGUAGCGUACUCUUCCUGCCAACAGCCGCCUCUCAAACCGAUCAAAGCAGCAACGGUGAAAAUGACAGAGGACUCACUGCACUGUUGUUGACCGUGAUUGUACCACGGCACACAGUAACAUUUACGUGACGCUGCCACGAAUAAUUUUUAAUCACUGGUAAAGAAAUAAUGAUUCACCGCGUGUUUUCGUCUAAGAAUCAUUUUUAAUGAACACUGGACUGUGACGCUAGCUACUGUUUGCCGUGAACUAACGGGCUAGCAAAUACCCGGGUACAACAUACUUUUGUGCUCAGUUUAAAAAGAAAUCCACCCUCCUCAACCCAUGAUUAAUUUGUUAUCAAAUUAACACCAUUGUGCUGCCGUUUUCGAUCAGCAAAUGUAAAACUGUACCGUUAAAAGACGAACAAAGUGGUAAAGAGAGGGCACAGUUUGUCUUACGUGUGUCGAGAACGUUUCAGGAGUGACGUCUUCCUGGCCGGCGUGAUCAAGUCACGUAGCUGUGAGACGUUCAGCGGGCGAGCUACGCAAUCCCUGAACGCCCAUAGGCUGUACCAGGUGUCAAUCAUAGAAAACAUGAACCCCCUAAUAACUUUUAAAAACAGAGCUGUACAGAAAAAAAGGACUUGGGCACAAACCAGUCUUACAAUAACUACAUGUCAACAUCACAACCAUGGGGGAGAAAAAUUUAUGUUCUGUGUAAUAAAUUUCUAAAGUUUGUCCACAGUCCCAUAAGCUUUGCUGGCAGAGGCGGGAUUUAUGACCUGUACUGCAGCCCACCAUCAGAGGGUGCUGUUCUCGGAGUGGCUUCACCCAGCGAGGAGGCAGACUCUGUCCAUUCUUUAUACAGUCUAUGAUGCCAACUCAACACCAAGGUGCAUUCAGGUUCCUGUAUAGUGUAGGAGAUUACAUAAUAUUCUCUCAAAACACAAACCAACCACUUGAAACACCAACAACAGAGAUGACCCCUUCACUGACACAAGAGACCCCUUGAAACCUUUAACUGCGAAAUUUAGGGGGGUCCCUCUUAAACCCUCUACCUACGGCCAUUGUUAAAAAAAGAAGGCUAUUGUGUUGUUUUGCUGCAAUUACAUGAUAUUUAUGUUGUUAAUUCAGAGAAUAAUGGCCGAACAUUUUCAUUAAUAACAUAGCUAUCCCCUAUUCCUGAGAUGAUCAACCCAUUUAGAAAAAUUGUGACAUUUGUUUUCUCUCAAUUGAAUGCAACAUGUUUCAUACUUUGGUGCUAUAAGGCCCCCAAAUGUAGCAUAUGGCUAUUUCAGGCACAUGUGACUGCAACAGGCAUACAAAAUAAUCUGGUUCCUUUUUAUGGCCUUAAGACAAAGAUUUGUAAUUUUUUUCUUAAAUACAGCCAACCAAACAAAUACAGCAAAGAAGACAGAGUGUUUUGAAUAACUUUAUCAAUAAAACAGAUUUAUAAAUAACAUAGAACAAUUAAGAUCAUUAGGAACAUUAACUCGGAACAAUUAGUCAAUGUAAAAGGAAAAAAAAAAUCGAAUUUUAAAAUAUUCAAGACAAGAAAAACAUUAACCUUUUACAAUUGACAAGAACUAAACACUAACAAAUAAUCUAGAAACAUCAAGAAACAAUUUACCUCACUGAAGGAAAAAAAUCAACUACAAAAAAAAGAAAAAUCCUCCUCCCAUGCCACCUUGCCGCCUUCCAUCCUCCCUUCUGCCUCCCC